UUGGAGGGCAAGUCUGGUGCCCGCAGCCGCGGUAAUUCCAGCUCCAAUAGCGUAUAUUAAAGUUGUUGAGGUUAAAAAGCUCGUAGUUGAACCUUGGGCCUAGCCGGCCGGUCCGCCUCACCGCGUGCACUGGCUCGGCUGGGUCUUUCCUUCUGGAGAACCGCAUGCCCUUCACUGGGUGUGCCGGGGAACCAGGACUUUUACUCUGAACAAAUUAGAUCGCUUAAAGAAGGCCUAUGCUCGAAUACAUUAGCAUGGAAUAAUAGAAUAGGACG
Molecule: ribosomal RNA, 275 nt
Filed under: uncultured Ascomycota
Lineage: Eukaryota; Fungi; Ascomycota
Description: partial 18S ribosomal RNA
Rfam family: Eukaryotic small subunit ribosomal RNA
Source: RNAcentral